Molecule: ribosomal RNA, 253 nt
Filed under: uncultured bacterium
Lineage: Bacteria
Description: partial 16S ribosomal RNA
Rfam family: Bacterial small subunit ribosomal RNA
Source: RNAcentral
UACGGAGGGGGCUAGCGUUGUUCGGAAUUAUUGGGCGUAAAGCGCGCGCAGGCGGCUUCUUAAGUCUGAUGUGAAAUCUCGGGGCUCAACCCCGAGCGGCCAUUGGAAACUGGGAAGCUUGAGUGCAGAAGAGGAGAGUGGAAUUCCACGUGCAGCGGUGAAAUGCGUAGAUAUGUGGAGGAACACCAGUGGCGAAGGCGACUCUCUGGUCUGUAACUGACGCUGAGGCGCGAAAGCGUGGGGAGCAAACAGG